This 365-nucleotide ribosomal RNA is filed under the name uncultured Pseudomonas sp. Its description in RNAcentral is "bacterial SSU rRNA". It matches the Rfam family "Bacterial small subunit ribosomal RNA", at positions 1021 to 1382 of the family's 1533-position model. Lineage: Bacteria; Pseudomonadati; Pseudomonadota; Gammaproteobacteria; Pseudomonadales; Pseudomonadaceae. The record is from RNAcentral.
GGGAACGUCUGACACAGGUGCUGCAUGGCUGUCGUCAGCUCGUGUCGUGAGAUGUUGGGUUAAGUCCCGUAACGAGCGCAACCCUUGUCCUUAGUUACCAGCACGUUAUGGUGGGCACUCUAAGGAGACUGCCGGCGACAAACCGGAAGGAAGGUGGGGGAGUGACGUCAAGUCAUCAUGGCCCUUACGGCCUGGGCUACACACGUGCUACAAUGGUCGGUACAAAGGGUUGCCAAGCCGCGAGGUGGAGCUAAUCCCAUAAAACCGAUCGUAGUCCGGAUCGCAGUCUGCAACUCGACUGCGUGAAGUCGGAAUCGCUAGUAAUCGUGAAUCAGAAUGUCACGGUGAAUACGUUCCCGGGCCUU